This 481-nucleotide ribosomal RNA is filed under the name uncultured bacterium. Its description in RNAcentral is "partial 16S ribosomal RNA". It matches the Rfam family "Bacterial small subunit ribosomal RNA", at positions 28 to 507 of the family's 1533-position model. The record is from RNAcentral.
GAUGAACGCUGGCGGCGUGCCUAACACAUGCAAGUCGAACGGAGAUUACGGACGGAAGUUUUCGGAUGGAAGACUGUAAUUCUUAGUGGCGGACGGGUGAGUAACGCGUGGGCAACCUGCCCUAUACAGGGGGAUAGCAGCUGGAAACGGCUGGUAAGACCGCAUAAGUCGGUUAAAUCGCAUGAUUUGAUCGGGAAAUGAGCAAUCAGGUAUAGGAUGGGCCCGCGUCCGAUUAGCCAGUUGGCAGGGUAAAAGCCUACCAAAGCGACGAUCGGUAGCCGGACUGAGAGGUCGGACGGCCACAUUGGGACUGAGACACGGCCCAAACUCCUACGGGAGGCAGCAGUGGGGGAUAUUGCACAAUGGAGGAAACUCUGAUGCAGCGACGCCGCGUGAGUGAAGAAGUAUUUCGGUAUGUAAAGCUCUACCAGCAGGGAAGAUGAUGACGGUACCUGACUAAGAAGCCCCGGCUAACUACGUG